AGCAGUCGCCGCGGGAAUACGUAGGUCCCGAGCGUUGUCCGGAUUUAUUGGGCGUAAAGCGAGCGCAGGCGGUUAGAUAAGUCUGAAGUUAAAGGCUGUGGCUUAACCAUAGUACGCUUUGGAAACUGUUUAACUUGAGUGCAAGUGGGGAGAGUGGAAUUCCAUGUGUAGCGGUGAAAUGCGUAGAUAUAUGGAGGAACACCGGUGGCGAAAGCGGCUCUCUGGCUUGUAACUGACGCUGAGGCUCGAAAGCGUGGGGAGCAAACAGGAUUAGAGACCCCUGUAGUCCCUGUCUCUUAUACA
RNAcentral lists this ribosomal RNA (303 nucleotides) under uncultured bacterium. Its description in RNAcentral is "partial 16S ribosomal RNA". It matches the Rfam family "Bacterial small subunit ribosomal RNA", at positions 507 to 808 of the family's 1533-position model. The record is from RNAcentral.